This is a long non-coding RNA of Sebastes umbrosus (honeycomb rockfish), 482 nucleotides long. RefSeq lists it as uncharacterized. NCBI's taxonomy places the organism in Eukaryota, Metazoa, Chordata, Actinopteri, Perciformes, Sebastidae. The transcript is spliced from 3 exons. The record is from RefSeq and is a predicted model, not a curated record.
AAGCAAAGCAACGUGAACAGACGGAGCAUAAAAUGUCCAUGUUAAGCACUAGAUGACAAAAAAUGCCAUUUGUUUGUGCACUCACUGUCUGUCGAUAAAGUAGCCAUAAUGACACUUGAUUUGAAUUAGUUUUUUUUUUACCAGAGAUGUUUACUCCAUCCUCUGUCACUGACAUGUGCCGUGUUCAGUGGCGUGCGGCGUGGAACACCUGCGUGUUGUUGUAAUUACUUUGAUUAUACCUACUAUGGGGUAUUACAGCAGUCUGGAGUGAGGGUCCAAUUUAACCUGCAGUGAAUUUCAAUUGUAGCUGAAAACAAGGGAAAAAAUUGCUUUCUGGAAUAUUUGAUCAGCGGAGAGGUAUUCAUAUGGUUACACGCUGCGAGUCCCUGUGUGUGUGCGCGUGUUUUUUUUUUUUUUUCAAAUUUCAAUGAAUUCAUAGUUAUAGAAACAAACGCUGUAGGUGCUGUAUAACUUUUUUUUUU